This 1231-nucleotide long non-coding RNA is filed under the name Phoenix dactylifera (date palm). Its description in RNAcentral is "long non-coding RNA (PDAC_LNC011346)". The record is from RNAcentral. Lineage: Eukaryota; Viridiplantae; Streptophyta; Magnoliopsida; Arecales; Arecaceae.
CUUGGAUCAUUUGAUGCUUAAUUUCUUGUUUUCGUCUUACUUGCUUAUUGUCAAUAAAAGUAAUUUUAUUUGUGCACAUAUAAUUUUGCUCUUAAUAUUGUCCAUUGGGACAUUUGGACCCCGAGUGACUUAUUGGAAGUCAUUCAUAAAGAAUUACCACAUUAAAAUCUUAUUUAGAGUGAAUAAAACAUUGUAAUACUUGGAAGGAAAUGUUUACUAAGUGGAGACAUAAUCGCCAUGAUUCAUGUGUUUUAUCUUUCUAAUUAAGAAUAAAUUUUGAGCAGUUUGUAAUUGGUGGCCAUAUUCAGUUUUUGAAUUUCUCAACCCAUACAGUCUUUUAGAUGUGCCAUGAGAGCCAAGUGGGAGAAUGUAAGCAUACGUCUCCAUGUAGGAGACUUAAGAUGGCCCACAUGCCACAUCUAGUUUUUAAAUUAUUAUAAUUAUGUAAUAUAUUAUUUUAUUCAAAAAAUCAUAUCUGGGAGUUGAGAUUUUAAUGUAACUGCUUGUAACCACUCAAUCAGAUCAUGUUAACGUUGAGGGCUAGUUAACGUUGAGUGGGUAUCUCCACUUCCUUGAUGGAAGGAAAGUGGGUGAGAUAUUCAUGUGGAUAUGGGUUUUGGCCUAUCUAUAAAAUUGCCUGUGAUUAUCCAUCAGGUCACAUACUUAUGGGAAAUAGACUAGGCUGAAAACUCUAUCCUUUACUCUCCAUAUAGACAGUGAGGGUUGUGAGGUUUGCUGGGAUUUUAUCCAACUAAUCUCUUGGUUCUCUAAUCGGCUUAAACAACUAUGGCUGGAGGUUAGUCCGUAUUAUAUGUGAUUAUCUUUUCUUCCGUAUGUAGUGUUAUUAUUUCUCCCAAAUUUCUUUCAUCCACAUCUUGGGCAACAGCAAGUCAGAGCUAGUUACAUGACAAUAAAAUGCCUAAAUCCUUAAACCAAGAAUUUAAUUGAACUAACAAUUAUAUAGAAAAGUUCCAUAAGAGAAUUUGUUUUUCAUUAGGAUAAAAUUCUUGUUAGAUGGAAAAGCUUUCUUGAAUUAUAAAAUUAUGUCUUUGGUUGCCAACCAGCUACCCCAGAAAACCAACAUCUUGUCUCCACAAUCAUGAGUUUCAGUUUCUCCAGUGAUGUGAAACUUUCUGCUUUACUCAUCAAAAUUAUGUUAUAGUUUCCAAGUCAGAGAAGUCUGAUCAGAAAAUAUAUUGUUUUUAACAUCAUCUUCCUCUCAGAAAGACAC